Molecule: ribosomal RNA, 497 nt
Filed under: uncultured bacterium
Lineage: Bacteria
Description: partial 16S ribosomal RNA
Rfam family: Bacterial small subunit ribosomal RNA
Source: RNAcentral
GAUGAACGCUGGCGGCGUGCCUAAUACAUGCAAGUCGAGCGAACAGACGAGGAGCUUGCUCCUCUGACGUUAGCGGCGGACGGGUGAGUAACACGUGGAUAACCUACCUAUAAGACUGAGAUAACUUCGGGAAACCGGAGCUAAUACCGGAUAAUAUAUUGAACCGCAUGGUUCAAUAGUGAAAGACGGUUUUGCUGUCACUUAUAGAUGGAUCCGCGCCGCAUUAGCUAGUUGGUAAGGUAACGGCUUACCAAGGCAACGAUGCGUAGCCGACCUGAGAGGGUGAUCGGCCACACUGGAACUGAGACACGGUCCAGACUCCUACGGGAGGCAGCAGUAGGGAAUCUUCCGCGAUGGGCGAAAGCUUGACGGAGCAACGCCGCGUGAGUGAUGAAGGUCUUCGGAUCGUAAAACUCUGUUAUUAGGGAAGAACAAAUGUGUAAGUAACUAUGCACGUCUUGACGGUACCUAAUCAGAAAGCCACGGCUAACUACGUG